RNAcentral lists this unclassified non-coding RNA (1432 nucleotides) under Fusarium oxysporum f. sp. cichorii. RNAcentral's name for it is "partial 28S-18S ribosomal RNA intergenic spacer". The stretch from base 1 to 271 matches the Rfam family "Eukaryotic large subunit ribosomal RNA", at positions 3120 to 3401 of the family's 3401-position model. The record is from RNAcentral. Lineage: Eukaryota; Fungi; Ascomycota; Sordariomycetes; Hypocreales; Nectriaceae.
CUGAACGCCUCNAAGUCAGAAUCCAUGCCAGAACGCGGUGAUACCACCCGCACGUAUNGNGGGGCNAGAAUAGGCUUCGGCUUAGCGUCUUAGCAGGCGAUUCUUCCACGGCGCUCGAAGCGCGUCGUGGUAUUUCNCGUAUUGUAAUUUCAACACGAGCGGGGUCAAAUCCUUUGCAGACGACUUAGCUGUGCGAAACGGUCCUGUAAGCAGUAGAGUAGCCUUGUUGUUACGAUCUGCUGAGGGUAAGCCGUCCUUCGCCUCGAUUUCCCCAAUGGGUUCUCCGGAUUUCUGGAGACUUGUAGGGGUUGUGGGAUUUUUGAUGUGUCGUCUCCGGACGGGCGGUGCAGGGUAGUCGAGUUAGACUUGGUGGAAUUCCGUCGAUAGGAGUUCCGUCGAGUCUGGUCGGCUGCUUGGACAUGGUCGGUUCGAGGAUCGAUUCGAGGCCCGGCCUGUCGAUGAUGUGUGAUGUAUGCGGUCUAGGGUAGGCUGGUUUGUCUUGGUUCANNNGGNNGUCGGCUCCCGUGCAGGCCAGAGUGAAGGGGGGUCCAGGGUAGGUACAGGGUAGGCAGCUUAGAUUUGGUCGAUCUGGAGGUCGAUUCUCCGGCUGGCGGAUCUGACACUGUCGAAAUGAGAUGCGAGUGGUGUAGGGUAGGCUCUAGGGUAAGUAGAAUUCUAGUUUCGUCGCCGACAGUUUUCUUUGGGUGUAUGGUAGGUACAGGGUAGGCAAAUCUCUCUCGGGCCAGUACUUGUCUGGUGGUCGUGAGUCGAUUUUUUUGUUUUGCCAUACUAUUGAAUUUUGCGGAAAUUCAAAAGUGGCUCGGGAGUCCCCGCCUGGCGAGCGUCCGACUCGAACAUCGUCGGUGUACAUAUGAGAGGGAGUAAUCCGGCCCGGCCGGGGCCCAUCGCGAGCUGCCGGGUAGGUAAAAGUNAAAAANUUGUUAAGAGGCGCGGUGUCCGCGUGCUUGUAUUUGCGGGAGGGAAUUAUCUGGGGGUGCUGGGUAGCCGGGAAGACUUGGACGGAUCUGGCCCUGGAAUGGGUCUGGGCCUGGAUUCUGGAGUGGUGUAGGGUAGGCGUAGAUAGAUGAGUGGUGUAGGGUAGAUACAGGGUAGCCAGAAGUCUGGUAUAUAGUAUGGGGGUGUAGGGUAGGUCUGGACACCGUUUUCCACUUCGCCCUUCCCUUUAGUCAAGGGAGGACGAUCUUGGCUGGGACGGAGGUGUAGGGUAGGCUUAAUUUACUAUUACAUGAUCUGUGUCACUCUAGGGUAGGUGAAAAUCCCAUAUAUAUCUGAUCACAUUUGGUGAAGAGGUGGUUUGGCUGGUGAGAUGGACAAAAGUGCAAUGUAGAAUUAUAUGNGAUUUUGCAAAANUNGGUGNAAAUUGGGAAAUCGGUUUUCCNNACAGNNNNNNNCACGUUNGAGGUGCCANAGA